Ictidomys tridecemlineatus (thirteen-lined ground squirrel) is the source of this 1016-nucleotide long non-coding RNA. Lineage: Eukaryota; Metazoa; Chordata; Mammalia; Rodentia; Sciuridae. The record is from Ensembl.
CUCCAGCUCGGGCUAGUUGGCGCAGCGCCCGCUCCCCUCCCCGUUUGGCGCGGGACGCUGAGAAGACUCUUUUAGUUGUGCUGUUUUUCUAUUUCAUGUGUUAUUCCUCCCGACUGCAAUGGAAACUAGGCAAAUGCGUAUCCAAGUGUCGCUGCCACCAAAAAGAAACCAAGAUUAACAGAUGUAUAUUUUAAGUCCACGCUGGCAGCCGCUGGAGGUGUGGCAAGUGUUAUUGGUGCAGUCUCAUGAAGAACUGAGUUGGUUCAAGCCAGCAAGCAGACUUUGCAGACCAGCUUCACAGGCCAGAAUGUGAUUAGUCUGUGAACAAAUACUUUUUUUUUUUUUAAUAAAAUUGUAUCCUUUCCUUCCACUCCCUAACCUACUAGAACAGAAUCUUCUUAAGCAUUGUUAAAACAAUACUCUGAAGAAGGAGAGAUCUCUGAAAUAAAAGGUUUUAUUGAGUCAUUACAGAUGCUAGCCAAAAAGAAAGGACCAAUCCUGGGACAAGCUCCCUCAGCCACCCACAGCUAGGCCAGGUAGUGGAGCCAGAAUUAGUGUAGAUUAGGUAAAUGGAGUCAGGUGGGAUCAAGGAAGCCAAUUUUGAGUGAGUCCCAAAUCGGAGGCUGUUCCCUGAGGAAUUGAAAUAUUAAUUCCUUUAGAGCCCUUCCUCCAACUUUAUCAAGAACCUGCCCUAGCUCACCUGUUGCUAAGGUAACCUGUCCCAGGAGUUGCCCUUCUCUACAGGGAGCUAUUGUUAAUUAACAUGUCUUGGGCUGCUCCAUCCUGCCCUUCCUCCUUCAGCCCACCUGUUUCCCACCUUUUGACCAUCCCACGGAGCAUUUUCUAGGCCUAGUCACAUAUGCAAGAAGGAGAAAGAGGAAGAGAGCCGAACAAAGGAAGCCUAGGACUUAUAAAAAGGGCAGAACGCCUCACGUUGUGGGAUACCUGAAUACCAGCUAUAGCCUCCUUCCCUCUCCUGGGAGAAGUCUGUUACCCCUAUUAAAUAAACCCUCCUU